ACUCAAAGGAAUUGACGGGGGCCCGCACAAGCAGCGGAGCGUGUGGUUUAAUUCGAUGCAACGCGAAGAACCUUACCUAGACUUGACAUGCACCGGAAACUCCUGGAAACAGGGGCCCCUUCGGGCCGGUGCACAGAUGUUGCAUGGCUGUCGUCAGCUCGUGUCGUGAGAUGUUGGGUUAAGUCCCGCAACGAGCGCAACCCUCGUGGGCUGUUGCAACUCAGCUCAGACUGCCGGUACAAGCCGGAGGAAGGUGGGGAUGACGUCAAGUCCGCAUGGCUCUUACGUCUAGGGCUACACACACGCUACAAUGGUCGGGACAGAGCGCAGCCACGCCGCGAGGCGGAGCGAAUCGCAAAACCCGAUCUCAGUUCGGAUGGCAGGCUGCAACCCGCCUGCCUGAAGUCGGAGUUGCUAGUAACCGCGUGUCAGCAUAGCGCGGUGAAUAUGUUCCCGGGCCUUGUACACACCGCCCGU
Molecule: ribosomal RNA, 477 nt
Filed under: uncultured bacterium
Lineage: Bacteria
Description: partial 16S ribosomal RNA
Rfam family: Bacterial small subunit ribosomal RNA
Source: RNAcentral